GAUGAAGAACGCAGCGAAAUGCGAUAAGUAAUGUGAAUUGCAGAAUUCAGUGAAUCAUCGAAUCUUUGAACGCACAUUGCGCCCAUUAGCAUUCUAGUGGGCAUGCCUGUUCGAGCGUCAUUUCAACCCUUAAGCCCUGUUGCUUAGCGUUGGGAGCCUACAGUACUGUAGCUCCCCAAAGUUAGUGGCGGAGUCGGUUUCACACUCUAGACGUAGUAAUUUUUUCUCGUCUGUAGUUGAGCCGGUCCCCUGCCGUAAAACACCCAAUUUAUCCAGGUUGACCUCGGAUCAGGUAGGAAUCCCCGCUGAACUUAAGCAUAUCAAUAAGCGGAGA
Molecule: unclassified non-coding RNA, 334 nt
Filed under: soil metagenome
Description: partial contains 5.8S ribosomal RNA, internal transcribed spacer 2, and large subunit ribosomal RNA
Rfam family: 5.8S ribosomal RNA (bases 1-120)
Source: RNAcentral